AUAUAUAUAUAUAUAUAUGGUGUAAGAAAAAGAAUAAAACCAAUUAUAGCAGCGAUUCCAUCUAAGAAUAUCUGAAGAAGGAAUAUUAUUCCGAAAUAUCAU
Octopus sinensis (East Asian common octopus) is the source of this 102-nucleotide long non-coding RNA. RefSeq lists it as uncharacterized. Lineage: Eukaryota; Metazoa; Mollusca; Cephalopoda; Octopoda; Octopodidae. The record is from RefSeq and is a predicted model, not a curated record. The transcript has 3 exons.